CGGAAAGGGAAAGGCUUAGUGGCGGACGGGUGAGUAACGCGUGGGUAACCUGGCCCAUACAGGGGGAUAACACUUAGAAAUAGGUGCUAAUACCGCAUAACAACAGAAAGCGCAUGCUUUUUGUUUGAAAACCAAGGUGGUAUGGGAUGGACCCGCGUCUGAUUAGCUGGUUGGCGGGGUAAAGGCCCACCAAGGCGACGAUCAGUAGCCGGCCUGAGAGGGUGGACGGCCACAUUGGGACUGAGACACGGCCCAAACUCCUACGGGAGGCAGCAG
Molecule: ribosomal RNA, 276 nt
Filed under: uncultured bacterium
Lineage: Bacteria
Description: partial 16S ribosomal RNA
Rfam family: Bacterial small subunit ribosomal RNA
Source: RNAcentral